CUACAGUCAAUAGUUGAGCAGUUGAGCAGC
Molecule: non-coding RNA, 30 nt
Filed under: Mus musculus (house mouse)
Lineage: Eukaryota; Metazoa; Chordata; Mammalia; Rodentia; Muridae
Source: RNAcentral